RNAcentral lists this ribosomal RNA (1530 nucleotides) under Salmonella enterica subsp. enterica. Its description in RNAcentral is "bacterial SSU rRNA". It matches the Rfam family "Bacterial small subunit ribosomal RNA". Lineage: Bacteria; Pseudomonadati; Pseudomonadota; Gammaproteobacteria; Enterobacterales; Enterobacteriaceae. The record is from RNAcentral.
AGAGUUUGAUCAUGGCUCAGAUUGAACGCUGGCGGCAGGCCUAACACAUGCAAGUCGAACGGUAACAGGAAGCAGCUUGCUGCUUUGCUGACGAGUGGCGGACGGGUGAGUAAUGUCUGGGAAACUGCCUGAUGGAGGGGGAUAACUACUGGAAACGGUGGCUAAUACCGCAUAAUGUCGCAAGACCAAAGAGGGGGACCUUCGGGCCUCUUGCCAUCAGAUGUGCCCAGAUGGGAUUAGCUUGUUGGUGAGGUAACGGCUCACCAAGGCGACGAUCCCUAGCUGGUCUGAGAGGAUGACCAGCCACACUGGAACUGAGACACGGUCCAGACUCCUACGGGAGGCAGCAGUGGGGAAUAUUGCACAAUGGGCGCAAGCCUGAUGCAGCCAUGCCGCGUGUAUGAAGAAGGCCUUCGGGUUGUAAAGUACUUUCAGCGGGGAGGAAGGUGUUGUGGUUAAUAACCACAGCAAUUGACGUUACCCGCAGAAGAAGCACCGGCUAACUCCGUGCCAGCAGCCGCGGUAAUACGGAGGGUGCAAGCGUUAAUCGGAAUUACUGGGCGUAAAGCGCACGCAGGCGGUCUGUCAAGUCGGAUGUGAAAUCCCCGGGCUCAACCUGGGAACUGCAUUCGAAACUGGCAGGCUUGAGUCUUGUAGAGGGGGGUAGAAUUCCAGGUGUAGCGGUGAAAUGCGUAGAGAUCUGGAGGAAUACCGGUGGCGAAGGCGGCCCCCUGGACAAAGACUGACGCUCAGGUGCGAAAGCGUGGGGAGCAAACAGGAUUAGAUACCCUGGUAGUCCACGCCGUAAACGAUGUCUACUUGGAGGUUGUGCCCUUGAGGCGUGGCUUCCGGAGCUAACGCGUUAAGUAGACCGCCUGGGGAGUACGGCCGCAAGGUUAAAACUCAAAUGAAUUGACGGGGGCCCGCACAAGCGGUGGAGCAUGUGGUUUAAUUCGAUGCAACGCGAAGAACCUUACCUGGUCUUGACAUCCACGGAAGUUUUCAGAGAUGAGAAUGUGCCUUCGGGAACCGUGAGACAGGUGCUGCAUGGCUGUCGUCAGCUCGUGUUGUGAAAUGUUGGGUUAAGUCCCGCAACGAGCGCAACCCUUAUCCUUUGUUGCCAGCGAUUAGGUCGGGAACUCAAAGGAGACUGCCAGUGAUAAACUGGAGGAAGGUGGGGAUGACGUCAAGUCAUCAUGGCCCUUACGACCAGGGCUACACACGUGCUACAAUGGCGCAUACAAAGAGAAGCGACCUCGCGAGAGCAAGCGGACCUCAUAAAGUGCGUCGUAGUCCGGAUUGGAGUCUGCAACUCGACUCCAUGAAGUCGGAAUCGCUAGUAAUCGUGGAUCAGAAUGCCACGGUGAAUACGUUCCCGGGCCUUGUACACACCGCCCGUCACACCAUGGGAGUGGGUUGCAAAAGAAGUAGGUAGCUUAACCUUCGGGAGGGCGCUUACCACUUUGUGAUUCAUGACUGGGGUGAAGUCGUAACAAGGUAACCGUAGGGGAACCUGCGGUUGGAUCACCU